RNAcentral lists this ribosomal RNA (500 nucleotides) under uncultured bacterium. Its description in RNAcentral is "partial 16S ribosomal RNA". It matches the Rfam family "Bacterial small subunit ribosomal RNA", at positions 30 to 523 of the family's 1533-position model. The record is from RNAcentral.
AUCGACCGCUGGCGGCAUGCUUUACACAUGCAAGUCGAACGGUAACAGGGUGCUUGCACCUCUCACGAGUGGUGAACGGGUGAGUACUGCGUCGGAACGUGCCGGGUGGUGGGGGAUACCGCAGCGCAAGUUGUGCUAAUACCGCAUACGUACUGAGGUAGAACGUGGGUGACCUUCGGGCCUUACGUCCUUCGAGCGGCUGACGUCGUAUUAGCUAGUAGGUGGGGUUAUGGGUCAUCUAGGCGACGAUCAGUAGCGGGUCUGAGAGGAUGAUCCGCCACACUGGGACUGAGACACGGCCCAGACUCCUACGGGAGGCAGCAGUGGGGAAGUUUUGACAAUGGUCGAAAGCCUGAUCCAGCCAUGCCGCGUGUCUGAAGAAGGCCUUCGGGUUGUAAAGGACUUUUGUCAGUGAGAAGAUCCCUAGUGCUAAUAACACUGGGGAAUGACAGUACCUGAAGAAUAAGCACCGGCUAACUACGUGCCAGCAGCCGCGGUAA